This 1417-nucleotide long non-coding RNA is filed under the name Homo sapiens (human). RNAcentral's name for it is "HSALNT0053481". The record is from RNAcentral. Lineage: Eukaryota; Metazoa; Chordata; Mammalia; Primates; Hominidae.
CCCGAAUACACACUCACAGACAGUAUUGACAACGUUUACACUUUUGAAGCAAAUAAAGUUCCAGUGAAGCAUAUCAGAAAAAAAAAAAAAUCAGCGGUCCAACGACGAAUACUCUGAAGGCUCUCAAAGCGGACGCUAAUUUCAGUGUCUGAACAAGUGCAGCCACGGGUUCUAAAACAGGCAAGCUUAAAGCGGAAGGGGCACCCAGCACCAGCCUCAAGAGCAGGCCGACUUUUAACAUCUUUCCUGAAACACAACUUUACAAAAGAAGAAACGAUACAGUUCAUUACAUUUGUUUUUACCUGCAAGAGCUUGACCUUGGAGACUAGAAAAGAACUUUAAAAAUCAGGUCAAGAAAGUGACAAAGUAAACUUGUUAACUCUCAAGGAUGCAAAGGAGGGCUCUAAAGGCUCUCUGCUCUCUGACACGCUCAGAUGAUGUCAUUUUCAUCAAGUUUUGCGGGGGUCAUAGAGGACAUUGGGAGGACUUGAAGAAGACUCAGACCAGAACCAAAGGUGUAAGGAAACUAAACCCUGCAAAACCUGAUUUCUCAUACUGGCAUAGACUUGACUUGAAGAGAUCAUCAAGUGUAUAGUGAAGAUUGGCUCAGGCAAGAAUCAUCCAUGAAUGCUUACUCUAGGGGGCUGUUACUGGCUGGCAGAUAUUUGUCUGGGUUGAUGUGUCUCCCCAUAGAUGGUUUAGACCUGUUAGUAGCAAAAGCGGAAAUAGUAACUAUACAAAGAGGCAGGCAGACAGCAUCUUAACCAGGUGAUCAAAAUUUACAUCACCAAUGAGAGCAGAUGGAUAUCAUGUCCACAUCAGCUAUGCAGUAUUCCUGGGGACAAUGCAUAACCUGAAUCAUGAUAGUGAAACAUCGGACAAACCCAAAAUGAGGAACAUCUAUUAAAAAGAGGAAGGGUCUGUAUUAUUCAAAAAUGUCAAGGUCAUUAAAAUCAAAAGAAAGCUUGGGAAAUGUUCCAGAUUAAAGGGUGCAAAAGAGUCAGGGCAGCUAAAUGCCAUGCCUGAUCCUAGACUGCAUCCUGUGCUAGAGGAGGGGAAAUACAUCACGGACAUUCCAGCUGACAAAAUCAGAAUCCAUGUAAGAGAUUAAAGUAUUGGAUCAAUGUUAAAUGUACUGAUGUUGAUAACUUCCACUGUAAUUAUGUACAAGAAUAUCUAAUUCUUGGGAAAUACACACUAAAGUAUCUUGAAAGGGUAAAGGUCAUAAUGUAUGCAGCUUACCUUCAAAUGAUUCAGGGGAAAAAAAAUCUUGAUAGGAAAAAAUGAUAAAGCCAAGUGGGCAAUAAAGGUAAGGUGCAUAUUAUCAGUGAAUCAGCAUAUAGAGUGUACUUGAACAUUUCUGUAAGUUUGAACUUAUUUCCAAAUAAAAAGAUUUGGAAAAAUCCAUCAAGUUGGG